AAAACGACAGGGGAACACAUAAUACGCGAUAACUGUUGAUGAAGCCUGCAUAUUGCUUUGGAGCUGAAGACGUGAACAUUUUGAAGAGAAAUAUUGAAUUGAAGAAAGAUUUCUACGAUGAAGACCUUUGUUAUUCUUAUUCUGGCAUUGACCGUUGCAUUUGGUAGCUGCUCAAAAAGGAUCAGAAAAGAUCAGACAGCUUGCGAUUGGCCUGAUUGCGAAUGUAUUUACAUAGACGAUCCUUGUCCCGGAACUCACUAUGAUUGCUCAGAAACAAGAUUCUGUGAUAUACCAGACGACAAACCAUGCUGCAAUUGAAGUGGGUUUUUGGGGUAGUUAAAAGUAUCGCUGAAGUAGAUGUAACGUUGCAUACGAAAUAAAUGUUUCGGUGAUAUAA
Molecule: long non-coding RNA, 397 nt
Organism: Dendronephthya gigantea
Lineage: Eukaryota; Metazoa; Cnidaria; Anthozoa; Malacalcyonacea; Nephtheidae
Exons: 3
Source: RefSeq, a predicted model, not a curated record